GAUGAACGCUGGCGGCGUGCCUAAUACAUGCGAGUCGAGCGAACGGACGAGAAGCUUGCUUCUCUGAUGUUAGCGGCGGACGGGUGAGUAACACGUGGAUAACCUACCUAUAAGACUGGGAUAACUUCGGGAAACCGGAGCUAAUACCGGAUAAUAUUUUGAACCGCAUGGUUCAAAAGUGAAAGACGGUCUUGCUGUCACUUAUAGAUGGAUCCGCGCUGCAUUAGCUAGUUGGUAAGGUAACGGCUUACCAAGGCAACGAUGCAUAGCCGACCUGAGAGGGGGACCGGACACGCUGGAACUGGGACACGGGCCAGGCUCCUACGGGGGGCAGCAGUAGGGAAUCUUGCGCGAUGGGCGAAGGGCAGACGGAGCAACGCCGCAUGAGUGAUGAAGGUCUUCGGAUGUGAAAACUCAGUUAUUAGGGAAGAACAUAUGUGUAAGUAACUGUGCACAUCAUGACGGUACCUAGUCAGAAAGCCACGGCUAACUACGUG
Molecule: ribosomal RNA, 497 nt
Filed under: uncultured bacterium
Lineage: Bacteria
Description: partial 16S ribosomal RNA
Rfam family: Bacterial small subunit ribosomal RNA
Source: RNAcentral